AAGCAACGAUGCAGUAAUUCACUUGUUGGUGCGUAAAUCAGCUAAAGUACAGGCUCAAGCCGUGAAAACAGAUUUUGAAGUUUCAGUUGUAGCAUCGGCAUCAAAUGAGAAAGGGUCUGAUGCAGUAGAGAAGCUCCAAGAGAGGUUUCAGGCUGUUGGAUUCAAUACUGUGCCAAGAAGUUUUAUUUUGGAACCAUUGAUUGUCAAUCCUAAGAUCACACCAUCGCCAGUUGUUAAGCAGCUGAUUGGCAGCACUUUCGAUGGUAUGGCAAGGGGUCACCAACCAAUUAGGUCCUCUGAGGGAUCAGGGGGUGCUUAUUUCAUGCUAGAUUCAUAUGCUCAGAAUUAUGUCUCUGUUUUUAAACCAACAGAUGAGGAGCCUAUGGCUGUGAAUAAUCCCCGGGGGCUUCCAUUGUCUGUAGAUGGUGAGGGGUUGAAGAAGGGCACACGUGUAGGAGAGGGGGCAUUUAGGGAGGUUGCUGCGUAUAUUUUGGAUCAUCCCAAGUCGGGACCUCGCUCAGCUUGUUCUGAUGAGAAGGGAUUUGCUGGGGUUCCUCCCACAGUUAUGGUCAAGUGUUUCCAUACUGGUUUCAAUCAUGCUGAAGGCUCUGAAUGUUCAUCCAAGAGUCUUAAGAUUGGGUCGCUGCAGAAGUUCAGGAAGAACAGUGGAAGUUGCGAGGAUUUUGGUCCUCGUGCUUUUCCUGUUGAUGCUGUACACAGGAUUUCUGUGCUGGACAUAAGGUUGGCUAAUGCAGAUAGGCAUGCUGGAAACAUUUUGGUUCAGAAGGAUGAUAUGGAUGGUCAGGUUGUGCUUAUACCAA
This 821-nucleotide unclassified non-coding RNA is filed under the name Hevea brasiliensis (rubber tree). Lineage: Eukaryota; Viridiplantae; Streptophyta; Magnoliopsida; Malpighiales; Euphorbiaceae. The record is from RNAcentral.